ACUAAAAUGCCUGAGUAAAGGGUUAAUUUGAUAGAUUAAAUUAUGAUUUAUAUAU
Molecule: transfer RNA, 55 nt
Filed under: Parachtes teruelis
Lineage: Eukaryota; Metazoa; Arthropoda; Arachnida; Araneae; Dysderidae
Description: tRNA-Ile
Source: RNAcentral